Bombus huntii is the source of this 857-nucleotide long non-coding RNA. RefSeq lists it as uncharacterized. NCBI's taxonomy places the organism in Eukaryota, Metazoa, Arthropoda, Insecta, Hymenoptera, Apidae. The transcript has 2 exons. The record is from RefSeq and is a predicted model, not a curated record.
CAACGAGUUACGUGUUCUUGAAAGUGAACGAACCGAACUUAAGUUUUCCACGUAUUCGUAAAUGCAUUAAAAAAUCACGCUCACACGGAUUCGAUGGCAAUCGUUGAGUGAACAAAAAUCACGUGUAAAACGAAAUAUUCGAAGAAUGCAAGGAGAAUAUGUAUCAUGGCGACCCUCGAUUAAUGGCGGACUCAACUAUUUCACGAUCGUUAUUUAGAUUAUACAAUGAUAUCACAUUGGAAGAUCUUUGAAGAUAUUUUUAAUUCGCUACUCAUUUAAUUAAUCGAUAUAAUAUAGAAAUAUUUUUUUCAGCUUCACAAUUAUCAUCAUUUAGGUGUUAUAUCAUGUUUGUAUGUACUAACAAUAGUUUCAUUACACCACUUUUUCUAUAACGUUCAAUUGCAUACAAUGGUUAAUACAAGUUAUAUAAUCGUAGUACAAUAAAUACACUAUACUAUAUAUUUACAAUAAAAUCACGCACGAUUUACAAUGAUUUUAAGGAAAUUCUUUUAUGGCAAAUGUAGUUGAGAUGAAAGAACGGAUACUGACAUGUAAUCAAAUUUUAACUUCCUAUGAGACGAGCGUAAAACUAGCCAAUCAGAGAAGAGUUUCACUACACUCCAAAGGAAUUAAUAUUUGAUUGAAUUGUAUAUAAAAAAAAUUUUUAUUUUUAAAUAGUUCCAUUGAUAUCAGAUUUAAUUAGAUUUAAUAGGGGAUUUUCAAAAAAAUUAAAUUGUGUAUUCUGGAAUGAAAGGAAUUAUGAAUAAAAAUGUCAGUGCAUUUUUAAUUGAACAUUACAAAAUUUUUUAAAUAUCUUUCAAUUGUUUACAAAGUUAUAUAGAAGAAGAAAGAGGAAG